AUGGGGAAAAAUUGGGGAAAAUUGGGGAAAAAUUGGGGAAAAAUGGGGAAAAAAUGGGGGAAAUUGGGGAAAAAUUGGGGAAAAAAAUGGGGGGAAAUGGGGGAAAAAAAUGGGGGGAAAUUGGGGAAAAAAUGGGGAAAAUUGGGGAAAAAUUGGGGAAAAAAUGGAGAAAAAAUGGGGAAAAAUUGGGGAAAAAAUGGAGAAAAAAUGGGGAAAAAUGGGGAAAAAUGGGGAAAAAUUGGGGAAAAAUUGGGGAAAAAUGGGGAAAAAUGGGGAAAAAUGGGGGAAAAAAUGGAGAAAAAUGGGGAAAAAAUGGGGAAAAAUGGGGAAAAAUGGGGAAAAAUUGGGGGAAAAAUGGGGAAAAAUUGGGGAAAAUUGGGGAAAAAAUGGAGAAAAAAUGGGGAAAAAAUGGGGAAAAAUUGGGGAAAAUUGGGGAAAAAAUGGAGAAAAAAUGGGGAAAAUUGGGGAAAAAUUGGGGAAAAAUUGGGGAAAAAUGGGGAAAAUGGGGAAAAAAUGGGGAAAAAUUGGGGAAAAUUGGGGAAAAAUUGGGGAAAAUGGGGAAAAAUUGGGGAAAAAUGGGGAAAAAUUGGGGGGAAAAAAUGGAGAAAAAAUGGAGAAAAAUGGAGAAAAAAUGGGGAAAAUGGGGGAAAAAUGGGGGAAAAAUGGGGAAAAAAUGGGGAAAAAUGGGGGAAAAUUGAAGGGGGAAAAAUGGGGAAAAUUGGGGAAAAAUUGGGGAAAAAAUGGGGAAAAAAUGGGGAAAAAUUGGGGAAAAAAUGGAGAAAAAUUGGGGAAAAAAAUGGGGAAAAAUUGGGGACAAAAAUUGGGGAAAUUUCCCCUCCUGAUCCGAUAAAAAAUGGGAAUCAAAGGGGACUGGGAAGGACUUUGUCUAAUAUAGACAAACAUUGCAAGGAAAAGGGGAAAUCCAUGGAAUUGUCCCCGAAUUCCCUGUGCUGGGCUCAGGCCGUUCCAAGGGGGAUCGGGGGCAGGAAAAUUCGGCUUUUCCUUAAAAAAAAGUGGGGAAGGGAGGGCGGGGAAUUCCCUCCCUGCUCCGCGCUCCGGCGUUUCGGCACAAAAAGCUCGAAAUUCCAGGCUUUGUAUAAAAAACGGGAUUUGUCCAAGCGGGACUUUGGGGGAAAAGGAAUUCUUGCCAUAAAAAAAUUGGGGAUGGAGCAAAAAUCAGCUCCAGCCCCGGGGGCCGCUCCGGGGAAUUUGGGGAUUUUGGGGAUUUUUCCAUCCAGGAGGGAAAUUCCUCUUUCUGGAUUUGGGGUUUUUUUUUUGGUUUUUCCCAUCCCAAAAUCUGCUCCGGGAAUUUUGUGGGGUUGUCAGAGGUGUUAA
Molecule: long non-coding RNA, 1335 nt
Filed under: Camarhynchus parvulus
Lineage: Eukaryota; Metazoa; Chordata; Aves; Passeriformes; Thraupidae
Description: lncRNA (ENSCPVG00000017889.1)
Source: RNAcentral